GAGUUUGAUCAUGGCUCAGAUUGAACGCUGGCGGCAUGCCUUACACAUGCAAGUCGAACGGCAGCACGGGAGCAAUCCUGGUGGCGAGUGGCGAACGGGUGAGUAAUAUAUCGGAACGUGUCCAUGAGUGGGGGAUAGCCCGGCGAAAGCCGGAUUAAUACCGCAUAAGACCUGAGGGUGAAAGCGGGGGAUCUUCGGACCUCGCGCUGAUGGAGCGGCCGAUACCAGAUUAGGUAGUUGGUGAGGUAAAGGCUCACCAAGCCUGCGAUCUGUAGCUGGUCUGAGAGGAUGGCCAGCCACACUGGGACUGAGACACGGCCCAGACUCCUACGGGAGGCAGCAGUGGGGAAUUUUGGACAAUGGGCGCAAGCCUGAUCCAGCCAUGCCGCGUGCGGGAAGAAGGCCUUCGGGUUGUAAACCGCUUUUGUCAGGGAAGAAAUCCUUUGGGUUAAUAACUCGGAGGGAUGACGGUACCUGAAGAAUAAGCACCGGCUAACUACGUGCCAGCAGCCGCGGUAAUACGUAGGGUGCAAGCGUUAAUCGGAAUUACUGGGCGUAAAGCGUGCGCAGGCGGUUAUAUAAGACAGAUGUGAAAUCCCCGGGCUCAACCUGGGAACUGCAUUUGUGACUGUAUAGCUAGAGUACGGUAGAGGGGGAUGGAAUUCCGCGUGUAGCAGUGAAAUGCGUAGAUAUGCGGAAGAACACCGAUGGCGAAGGCAAUCCCUGGACUGUACU
This 735-nucleotide ribosomal RNA is filed under the name uncultured bacterium. RNAcentral describes it as "bacterial SSU rRNA". It matches the Rfam family "Bacterial small subunit ribosomal RNA", at positions 9 to 741 of the family's 1533-position model. The record is from RNAcentral.